This 762-nucleotide long non-coding RNA is filed under the name Salmo salar (Atlantic salmon). RNAcentral describes it as "lncRNA (ENSSSAG00000087731.1)". The record is from RNAcentral. Lineage: Eukaryota; Metazoa; Chordata; Actinopteri; Salmoniformes; Salmonidae.
GUCUGUAGUAGUCCUGCGCUGGUCUGUAGUAGUCCUGUACUGGUCUGUAGUAGUCCUGUGCUGGUCUGUAGUAGUCCUGUGCUGGUCUGUAGUAGUCCUGUGCUGGUCUGUAGUAGUCCUGUACUGGUCUGUAGUAGUCCUGUACUGGUCUGUAGUAGUCCUGUGCUGGUCUGUAUAACUGCUGUGCUGGUCUGUAGUAGUCCUGUGCUGGUCUGUAGUAGUCCUGUGCUGGUCUGUACUGCUCUGUGUCCAGGGCUCUACAGUGUCUGCGGUAGGUAGUCCUGUGCUGGUCUGUAGUAGUCCUGUACUGGUCUGUAGUACUAUUGUGCUGGUCUGUAGUAGUCCUGUACUGGUCUGUAGUACUGCUGUGCUGGUCUGUAGUAGUCCUGUGCUGGUCUGUAGUAGUCCUGUACUGGUCUGUAGUACUCCUGUGCUGGUCUGUAGUAGUCCUGUACUGGUCUGUAGUAGUCCUGUACUGGUCUGUAGUAGUCCUGUGCUGGUCUGUAUAACUGCUGUGCUGGUCUGUAGUAGUCCUGUGCUGGUCUGUAGUAGUCCUGUGCUGGUCUGUACUGCUCUGUGUCCAGAGCUCUACAGUGUCUGCGGUAGGUAGUCCUGUGCUGGUCUGUAGUAGUCCUGUGCUGGUCUGUAGUACUGCUGUGCUGGUCUGUAGUAGUCCUGUGCUGGUCUGUAGUAGUCCUGUGCUGCUCUGUAGUAGUCCUGUACUGCUCUGUACUGCUCUGUGUCCAGGGCUCUACAGGGUCU